RNAcentral lists this ribosomal RNA (421 nucleotides) under uncultured bacterium. Its description in RNAcentral is "bacterial SSU rRNA". It matches the Rfam family "Bacterial small subunit ribosomal RNA", at positions 362 to 775 of the family's 1533-position model. The record is from RNAcentral.
UAUUCCGCAAUGGGCGAAAGCCUGACGGAGCGACGCCGCGUGAGCGAUGAAGGUCUUCGGAUCGUAAAGCUCUGUUGUUAGGGAAGAACAAGUACCGGAGUAACUGCCGGUACCUUGACGGUACCUAACCAGAAAGCCCCGGCUAACUACGUGCCAGCAGCCGCGGUAAUACGUAGGGGGCGAGCGUUGUCCGGAAUUAUUGGGCGUAAAGGGCGCGUAGGCGGUCUCUUAAGUCUGAUGUGAAAGCCCCCGGCUUAACCGGGGAGGGUCAUUGGAAACUGGGAGACUUGAGUGCAGGAGAGGGAAGCGGAAUUCCAUGUGUAGCGGUGAAAUGCGUAGAGAUAUGGAGGAACACCAGUGGCGAAGGCGGCUUCCUGGCCUGUAACUGACGCUGAGGCGCGAAAGCGUGGGGAGCAAACAG